This 393-nucleotide ribosomal RNA is filed under the name uncultured bacterium. RNAcentral's name for it is "partial 16S ribosomal RNA". It matches the Rfam family "Bacterial small subunit ribosomal RNA", at positions 523 to 918 of the family's 1533-position model. The record is from RNAcentral.
AUACGGAGGAUCCGAGCGUUAUCCGGAUUUAUUGGGUUUAAAGGGUGCGCAGGCGGGAGAUUAAGUCGGCGGUGAAAUUUUGCAGCUCAACUGUAAAAGUGCCUUCGAUACUGGUUUCCUUGAGUGUGGGUGAAGUAGGCGGAAUUUGUGGUGUAGCGGUGAAAUGCUUAGAUAUCACGAGGAACUCCGAUUGCGCAGGCAGCUUACUAAACCACUACUGACGCUCAGGCACGAAGGCGUGGGGAUCAAACAGGAUUAGAUACCCUGGUAGUCCACGCAGUAAACGAUGAUUACUGGCUGUUUGCGAUACAAUGUAAGCGGCUGAGCGAAAGCGUUAAGUAAUCCACCUGGGGAGUACGUUCGCAAGAAUGAAACUCAAAGGAAUUGACGGGG